UGAGAGCGGUGAUCCUAGGACCGACCAUACACUAACCUCGUGAGAAUCAAGAACAGGAAAACACGCUCUUCCUCUUUGAAAAAAGGAGAGAGAGUGAUCAUGAGCAGAGAAAAGGCAGAGAGAGGGGGACAGAGGAUCCGAAGCAGGCUCUGUGCUGUCAGCAGAGAGCCAGAUGCGGACUUGAACUCAUGAACCAUGAGACCAUGACCUGAGCUGAAGUUGAACACUUACCUGACUGAACCACCCAGGCACCUUUGAGAAAAGAGAAAAGAAGAUGCAACCUCAUUAUGGUGGUAACUUUGCAGGCAGAGAAUAUAUCAGCAAAGGCAAGCUUAAGCCUGGCUGUAAGACAAGGCAACUGUGUCUAGUUUCCCUGGAGUGUGAAAGUCACAGACUGUAGCGGACUCUAACAUCUGGAAAACUCAGCCAAGCACCAAAGCUAAGUAUGUGCCAAGUUCUGACCCAGUUAAAAGACUAAACCUGAGCUGGCUGUAUGUAAGAAGUGUUCUACUGAAGCUCAAGGAUAAUGUCAAGAUCAUAACAAUUAGUGAUUAGUGAGUAAAGAAGCUAAGAAAUUUAGGUGUUUGUUUCUUUAAAAGUACUUAAUAUUUUCACUGUAAUGUUGUAAUCAAGAGUUUCACUUUUCUGGGGAAAAAAACCCACAGAGAAUAAUUUAGUUGGAAAAUGUGCUAAUCUCUUAAUAAAUCACAUCUCUAAGACUGAAGAGACGACUGAGCCCUAACCAGGGGCGGGGAGGGGCUCUACUGGCUGAUAAUGUUCCCAAGAAACCCCAACUGCUAACCAAAGUCUAAGUGACAACAUAUCUUAGACACUGAACAAAUGCUUGCAUUUCUCCCAAUAACCAAAAUCCUUUUGUCUUUAAAAUUAAUAAAGUACAGUGCUUGCCAGCAAAGGGAAUAAUGAUGUAAAAGGUUGAAACAUUCAAACUCACAGGUCUCUACACAGCAAAGAGGAAAUAUACUAAUGAAAUUUUUGUACAUAAAUAUUGUAGUCAUGAGUCUUACUGGAAUACUAAUUUCCAAAAAAUCUUUUACCUUUUAAAACAAAUGCCAAAGUUCAGGCUGUAAAAGGCCAUUUCCAAAAAUCUGAGGGGCAGAAUUUGGCCCAUUAACAAAUGUAACUAUGAGAAAAGCAAUAACUAUUAAUAUUUCCCACUAAAUGCUAUACUCUGUUAUUCAGAAUUAGACUGUACCACUCUUGAUCCAUUUUAUUUUUGAGGAGUUUGGUAAUGUAGCACCUAAAGGAACUCAUGACUUUUCAACAUAGAGUAACACACAUACUUUCUU
Acinonyx jubatus (cheetah) is the source of this 1307-nucleotide long non-coding RNA. RefSeq lists it as uncharacterized. NCBI's taxonomy places the organism in Eukaryota, Metazoa, Chordata, Mammalia, Carnivora, Felidae. The transcript has 3 exons. The record is from RefSeq and is a predicted model, not a curated record.